Molecule: ribosomal RNA, 284 nt
Filed under: uncultured bacterium
Lineage: Bacteria
Description: partial 16S ribosomal RNA
Rfam family: Bacterial small subunit ribosomal RNA
Source: RNAcentral
ACUCCUACGGGAGGCAGCAGUGGGGAAGUAUUGCACAAUGGGGAAACCCGGUAGCAUGCAGCCAUGCCGCGUGUGUGAAGAAGGCCUUCGGGUUGUAAAGCACUUUCAGUAGGGAGGAAGGUAGUGUAGUUAACACCUGCAUUAUUUGACGUUACCUACAGAAGAAGCACCGGCUAACUCCGUGCCAGCAGCCGCGGUAAUACGGAGGGUGCGAGCGUUAAUCGGAAUUACUGGGCGUAAAGCGCAUGCAGGCGGCCUGUUAAGUCAGAUGUGAAAGCCGGGCU